UUGUCGCGACCGCUGUGCACCCGGUGCACACA
Molecule: small RNA, 32 nt
Filed under: Bombyx mori (domestic silkworm)
Lineage: Eukaryota; Metazoa; Arthropoda; Insecta; Lepidoptera; Bombycidae
Description: ovarian small RNA-38114
Source: RNAcentral